CUUAUCUAUCCUUAGCAAGGCAUCCUCUGAAUCUAUUUGCGCAAGAACUGUCUACAUCUUUAUCUGUCACAACGUGAAUCUGAUGUUGUGAUCCAACGCAGAAUAUCAUACUUCAAUGUCGCCAUUACCGUUAUCGAGACAAGCAACCCGAAAAGCUCUGAUAACAGGUUGUAAAACUAACAUCGAUAAUGGCAAUAUAGAACGAUCGCAAAAAAAUAAGAAAAAUAAAAAUAAAGCACACAAAUUUUACAUAAAAAACCCUUUCGGGAAAAAC
This 274-nucleotide long non-coding RNA is filed under the name Gossypium raimondii (Peruvian cotton). Its description in RNAcentral is "long non-coding RNA (GRAI_LNC003902)". The record is from RNAcentral. Lineage: Eukaryota; Viridiplantae; Streptophyta; Magnoliopsida; Malvales; Malvaceae.